GAUGAACGCUGACAGAAUGCUUAACACAUGCAAGUCUACUUGAAUUUGGGUUUUUUAACUUAGAUUUGGGUGGCGGACGGGUGAGUAACGCGUAAAGAACUUGCCUCACAGCUAGGGACAACAUUUGGAAACGAAUGCUAAUACCUGAUAUUAUGAUUAUAAGGCAUCUUAGAAUUAUGAAAGCUAUAUGCGCUGUGAGAGAGCUUUGCGUCCCAUUAGCUAGUUGGAGAGGUAACGGCUCACCAAGGCGAUGAUGGGUAGCCGGCCUGAAAGGGUGAACGGCCACAAGGGGACUGAGACACGGCCCUUACUCCUACGGGAGGCAGCAGUGGGGAAUAUUGGACAAUGGACCAAGAGUCUGAUCCAGCAAUUCUGUGUGCACGAUGACGUUUUUCGGAAUGUAAAGUGCUUUCAGUUGGGAAGAAAAAAAUGACGGUACCAACAGAAGAAGUGACGGCUAAAUACGUG
This 468-nucleotide ribosomal RNA is filed under the name uncultured bacterium. RNAcentral's name for it is "partial 16S ribosomal RNA". It matches the Rfam family "Bacterial small subunit ribosomal RNA", at positions 28 to 507 of the family's 1533-position model. The record is from RNAcentral.